Molecule: ribosomal RNA, 30 nt
Filed under: Polyporus tsugae
Lineage: Eukaryota; Fungi; Basidiomycota; Agaricomycetes; Polyporales; Polyporaceae
Description: partial 5.8S ribosomal RNA
Source: RNAcentral
CCGAGGAGCAUGCCUGUUUGAGUGUCAUGG